GAAUAACAAACAUGCUCCCAGGCAGGGAUCCCGAUACCCACUUUGGGCGGUAUUGGGAGCUCAAGUGUCCCACACUGGAAACAAGGAAACCACCCUCCUCCAAAUCCAUUACAAAUGGGUCAUCUCCAACUACCAAAAGAGAUAAACGAGAUCGAUAGCGAUAGCGACAAGGCUCAUCACGUGAUUCUGCUGGAUCAGACCAACUGUCUAUACAGCUGAAACAUUUGGCGCUAAAAGAAGUCCCUUGGAUCCUUGCUGGCAGGGCACAACACUCUACCAAUGACUACCAGCACCCCCGAUACACACGACGAUGACACUACAAAAACUUUCCUUAUUAAUAGCAUUUCAUGAUAGCGUUUUUUCACGAAGUGUUAUAUUUUAGGGAUGGGCAUAAACCGAACCGGGAGUCGAAAACCGGCCGAACCGGGCCUGAAAAACGGUUCAAUAACCGAACCGGAUGAGAAAAGCAAUCAAAAACUCAUCAGCUGAACUGGACCGGAUCUUUCUGGUUCGGGACCGGUUCAGCCUUUUAAACCGGCCGAAGUCAACCGAAUUUGACCGAAUUUUAAAUACUUAUAUUUUUUUAAUGUGUUGUCUCUUUCUUAUUGGAUGAUUGUUGUUUAUGUUGCACCUUACCACACACAAUUGCGACUACCUCAUAUAAAUUAUUAUAACCCUAGAGAUAUCAGCCUCAUUCUCUACAACCUCACGCCCUCACUCUUAUCUCUCUCUCUCUUCAACUCUCAUUCUCCGAUUUCUCUCUAUCUCUCGCCAUUCCACAAAAGAUUAGGCCGCAAACAAAAUUAGGCCAUGUCCUUCGAGACUAGAUGAGGCGAUCUAUGUUCUUCAUUAGAUCCGUCCACGGCGGCUAAUCGACGGACUCCAUCCCCCAGUUAAGGUCGCCGUUCUCGGUGUUCUCCAUCAUCUCCAUCAGGUGUUCUUUUUCAUUGCUAUGGAAUCUUAGAUCUGGAGGGGAUGAGAUGAAGCUUGAAUUUUUUCUUUUUCGAUGCGAUCUGGGGACCAAGAAGUUGUGUUUAAAGCUUUGAUAUUUUCUUGUUGCUAUUAAUUUUUUUUUUCUUAUGAAUUUUGGCACUGUUGAUUAUAGCAAACCCAGUUCAA
This is a long non-coding RNA of Rosa rugosa (rugosa rose), 1119 nucleotides long. RefSeq lists it as uncharacterized. The transcript is spliced from 3 exons. NCBI's taxonomy places the organism in Eukaryota, Viridiplantae, Streptophyta, Magnoliopsida, Rosales, Rosaceae. The record is from RefSeq and is a predicted model, not a curated record.